GACAGAGGGUGCAAACGUUGUUCGGAUUUACUGGGCGUAAAGCGCGUGUAGGCGGCUUUGCAAGUCGGAUGUGAAAGCCCACGGCUCAACCGUGGAAGUGCAUCCGAAACUGCAUGGCUCGAGUCUCGGAGAGGAAGGUGGAAUGCUUGGUGUAGAGGUGAAAUUCGUAGAUAUCAAGCAGAACACCUGCGGCGAAGGCGGCCUUCUGGGCGAUGACUGACGCUGAGACGCGAAAGCGUGGGGAGCAAACAGG
Molecule: ribosomal RNA, 253 nt
Filed under: uncultured bacterium
Lineage: Bacteria
Description: partial 16S ribosomal RNA
Rfam family: Bacterial small subunit ribosomal RNA
Source: RNAcentral